This 31-nucleotide ribosomal RNA is filed under the name Sabal domingensis. RNAcentral's name for it is "partial 18S ribosomal RNA". Lineage: Eukaryota; Viridiplantae; Streptophyta; Magnoliopsida; Arecales; Arecaceae. The record is from RNAcentral.
GAACCUGUGAAAGGAUCAUUGCCGAGACCCA